UCGGUCCGAGAAAACCACAGUCUUUAGUUUCUGCACUCAGCUUUUCUAUUUUUCUUCAUUCCCCAGAAAACCACACACAAUCUCAUUAAGAAAAAAAAAAAAAAUCCAUGCUCCAUCUCCCUGCAUCUCUUACCUCUUCUCUUGCAAACAUAUGAAAGCCUAAGGAAAAAUUGCGUUUGAGGUGAGCGAUAGUUUUACAGAGGAGCUUCACUUGGAAAGUUUGCAGCAUCAAAUAGAAAGUGAUCUUAUGCCAAGUGCCCGAUGUGACCAAAGUGAUUCUUAUGGGAUUGGAAUGAGCUAGGGGUGACAAAUUGUGGAAAUGAGACAAAACUCCUAAGUGGAUCAGUUAUCGAGGUGGAUUGCCCAAGGCAUUAUAUGUGGUGAAAGAUGUAUUAACUGGAAUGAGAAAACAUGUUCAUCUGCUGGACAUAACAACUUUAUCACGACUCAGAAAAGAUGCACAUCCUGGCUUUUAUAAUGGCUUUAGGCGCAUGGACUGUAACCAUUGGUGUAUUGCUGGACUUCCAGAUACUUGGAAUCAACUUUUUAUGCAUUCCUCAUAAUUGUCAUGCUUGUUCUGGUAUUUUUUGUUUAUAAAAAUGAUCAUACGGUUACUUA
Ziziphus jujuba (common jujube) is the source of this 618-nucleotide long non-coding RNA. RefSeq lists it as uncharacterized. The transcript has 3 exons. The record is from RefSeq and is a predicted model, not a curated record. Lineage: Eukaryota; Viridiplantae; Streptophyta; Magnoliopsida; Rosales; Rhamnaceae.